Long non-coding RNA from Homo sapiens (human), 7587 nucleotides. Ensembl annotates it as oligodendrocyte maturation-associated long intergenic non-coding RNA. Its record names the gene OLMALINC. NCBI's taxonomy places the organism in Eukaryota, Metazoa, Chordata, Mammalia, Primates, Hominidae. The record is from Ensembl.
GGUCCUUCCAGCCUCUUGCUCCUGUGAAUCACAGGUCGGCGGGAGCCUUUUUUCCUUUUUUUUUUUUUCCCGGGGAGUCGGCCUCGGGGCUCUGCUCUCCUACCUCAGUCUGCCCUACCCUGGAAUGGGGAAAAUGCGGACAUGCCACUCAGUCCGGCCGCGAACAGUGCUCCAGAACUCAGAGAGUUUUCCAGACGGGUGGAGAUCGCGUUCCCUGCCCGCCGAGGUCCCAUCGCUUCCCUGCUGGGAAGACAAAUGAGGCGCUUUAGCCGUCUCCACGGCCAGCCCCUCCCUCAUAACCCGAGAUUCUUUGUGGGCUCUUAGUCCAUAGCUGCCUUUGAGGUGGUGUAGACCUUGCUAACCAGGACGGCCCAGUAGGCAGAGCUCAUUUUUAUUCCUGUCUGCAAUCGUGCAAAAACGCCUCUUAUGGAAAAGCCAGAGCGCCAGGAGUCAGCAAAACACACUAAAGAUUGGGCAGUCACUGGGGAGAACACUCAGCCCGCCUGCACCCAGGUGAAAUAUACAGCCUUGUUGCUCACACAAAGCCUGUUUGGUGGUUUCUUCACACGGAUGCAUGUGACAUUUGGUGCUGAAGACCCAGGACAGGAGGACUCCUUUGGGAGACCAGUGCCCUGUUGUCGCCCUCACUCCGUGAGGAGAUCCACCUAUGAUCUCAGGUCCUCAGACCAACCAGCCCAAGGAACAUCUUGCCAAUUUCAAAUCGGGUUGUCAGAAUCUGCAGAGAAGCUUCCUCCAAUCUCCAGCCUGAGAGUUCAGGCCUGGUUACCAGCAUUCUAGAAGCUGAAAGAGGAGAAGUUCUUGGAAGACUAAGAAGUCCAACAUUCGAUGGCACACAAGGAGAUUAUAUCCCGCACCUGGCUUGGAGGAUCCUACGCCCAUGGAGCCUCGCUCAUUGGUGGCACAGCAGUCUGAGAUCAAACUGCAAGGUGGCAGCGAGGCUGGGGGCAGGGCGCCCACCAUUGCCGAGGCUUGAGUAGGUAAACAAAGCACCCGGGAAGCUCGAACUGGGUGGAGCCCACCCCAGCUCAAGGAGGCCUGCCUGCCUCUGUAGACUCCACCUCUGGGGGCAGGGCAUAGCCAAACAAAGGCAGCUGAAACCUCUGCAGACUUAAAUGUCCCUAUCUGACAGCUUUGAAGAGAGUAGUGGUUCUCCCAGCACGCAGCUUGAGAUCUGAGAAUGGACAGACUGCCUCCUCAAGUGGGUCCCUGACCCACAAGUAGCUUAACUGGGAGGCAACCCCCAGUAGGGGCAGACUGACACCUCACACGGCCAGGCACUCCUCUGAGACAAAACUUCCACAGGAAUGAUCAGGCAGCAACAUUUGCUGUUCACCAAUAUCUGCUGUUCUGCAGCCUCCGCUGCUGAUACCCAGGCAAACAGGGUCUGGAGUGGACCUCCAGCAAACUCCAACAGACCUGCAGCUGAGGGUCCUGACUGUUAGAAGGAAAACUAACAAACAGAUAGGACAUCCACACCAAAACCCCAUCUGUACGUCACCAUCAUCAAAGACCAAAGGUAGAUAAAAUCACAAAGAUGGGGAAAAAACAGAGCAGAAAAACUGGAAACUCUAAAAAUCAGAGUGCCUCUCCUUCUCCAAAGGAAUGCAGCUCCUCACCAGCAGUGGAACAAAGCUGGAUGGAGAAUGACUUUGACGAGUUGAGAGAAGAAGGCUUCAGAUGAUCAAACUAGUCCGAGCUAAAGGAGGAAGUUCGAACCCAUGGCAAAGAAGUUAAAAACCUUGAAAAAAAAUUAGAUGAAUGGCUAACUAGAAUAACCAAUGCAGAGAAGUCCCUAAAGGACCUGAUGGAGCUGAAAACCACGGCACAAGAACUAUGUGACGAAUGCACAAGCCUCAGUAGCCGAUUCAAUCAACUGGAAGAAAGGGUAUCAGUGUUGGAAGAUCAAAUGAAUGAAAUGAAGUGAGAAGAGAAGUUUAGAGAAAAAAGAAUAACAAGAAAUGAACAAAGCCUCCAAGAAAUAUGGGACUAUGUGAAAAGACCAAAUCUACAUCUGAUUGGUGUACCUGAAAGUGACGGGGAGAAUGGAACCAAGUUGGAAAACACUCUGCAGGAUAUUAUCCAGGAGAACUUCCCCAAUCUAGCAAGGCAGGCCAACAUUCAAAUUAAGGAAAUACAGAGAACACCACAAAGAUACUCCUUGAGAAGAGCAACUCCAAGACACAUAAUUGUCAGAUUCACCAAAGUUGAAAUGAAGGAAAAAAUGUUAAGGGCAGCCAGAGAGAAAGGUUGGGUUACCCACAAAGGGAAGCCCAUCAGACUAACAGCUGAUCUCUUGGCAGAAACUCUACAAGCCAGAAGAGAGUGGGGGCCAAUAUUCAACAUUCUUAAAGAAAAGAAUUUUCAACCCAGAAUUUCAUAUCCAGCCAAACUAAGCUUCAUAAGUGAAGGAGAAAUAAAAUCCUUUACAGACAAGCAAAUGCUGAGAGAUUUUGUCACCACCAGGCCUGCCCUAAAAGAGCUCCUGAAUGAAGCACUAAACAUGGAAAGGAACAACCGGUACCAGCCACUGCAAAAACAUGUCAAAUGGUAAAGACCAUUGAGGCUAGGAAGAAACUGCAUCAACUAACGAGCAAAAUAACCAGCUAACAUCAUAAUGACAGGAUCAAAUUCACACAUAAUAAUAUUAACCUUAAAUGUAAAUGGGCUAAAUGCCCCAAUUAAAAGACACAGACUGGCAAAUUGAAUAAAGAGUCAAGACUCAUCAGUGUGCUGUAUUCAGGAAACCCAUCUCACGUGCAGAGACACACAUAGGCUCAAAAUAAAGGGAUGGAGGAAGAUCUACCAAGCAAAUGGAAAACAAAAAAAGGCAGGGGUUGCAAUCCCAGUCUCUGACAAAGCAGACUUUAAACCAACAAAGAUCAAAAGAGACAAAGAAGGCCAUUACAUAAUGGUAAAGGGAUCAAUUCAACAAGAAGAGCUAACUAUCCUAAACAUAUAUGCACCCAACACAGGAGCACCCAGAUUCAUAAAGCAAGUCCUUAGAGACCUACAAAGAGACUUAGACUCCCACACAAUAAUAAUGGGAGACUUUAACACCCCACUGUCAACAUUAGACAGAUCAACGAGACAGAAAGUUAACAAGGAUAUCCAGGAAUUGAACUCAGCUCUGCACCAAGCAUACCUAAUAGACAUCUACAGAACUCUCCACCCCAAAUCAACAGAAUAUACAUUCUUUUCAGCACCACACCACACCUAUUCCAAAACUGACCACAUAGUUGGAAGUAAAGCACUCCUCAGCAAAUGUAAAAGAACAGAAAUUAUAACAAACUGUCUCUCAGACCACAGUGCAAUCAAACUAGAACUCAGGAUUAAGAAACUCACUCAAAACCGCUCAAGUACAUGGAAACUGAACAACCUGCUCCUGAAUGACUACUGGGUAUAUAACAAAAUGAAGGCAGAAAUAAAGAUGUUAUUUGAAACCAAUGAGAACAAAGACACAACAUACCAGAAUCUCUGGGACACAUUCAAAGCAGUGUGUAGAGGGAAAUUUAUAGCACUAAAUGCCCACAAGAGAAAGCAGGAAAGAUCUAAAAUUGACACCCUAACAUCACAAUUAAAAGAACUAGAGAAGCAAGAGCAAACACAUUCAAAAGCUGGCAGAAGGCAACAAAUAACUAAGAUCAGAGCAGAACUGAAGGAAAUAGAGACACAAAAAACCCUUCAAAAAAUCAAUGAGUCCAGGAGCUGGUUUUUUGAAAAGAUCAACAAAAUUGAUAGACCACUAGCAAGACUAAUAAAGAAGAAAAGAGAGAAGAAUCAAAUAGACGCAAUAAAAAAAUGAUAGAGGGGAUAUCACCACCGAUCCCACAGAAAUACAAACUACCAUCAGAGAAUACUAUAAACACCUCUAUGCAAAUAAACUAGAAAAUCUAGAAGAAAUGGAUAAAUUCCUCGACACAUACACCCUCCCAAGACUAAACCAGGAAGAAGUUGAAUCUCUGAAUAGACCAAUAACAGGCUCUGAAAUUGAGGCAAUAAUUAAUAACUUACCAACCAAAAAGAGUCCAGGACCAGAUGGAUUCACAGCCAAAUUCUACCAGAGAUACAAGGAGGAGCUGGUACCAUUCCUUCUGAAACUAUUCCAAUCAAUAGAAAAAGAGGGAAUCCUCCCUAACUCAUUUUAUGAGGCCAGCAUCAUCCUGAUACCAAAGCCUGGCAGAGACACAACAAAAAAAGAGAAUUUUAGACCAAUAUCCCUGAUGAACAUCGAUGCAAAAAUCCUCAACAAAAUACUGGCAAACCAAAUCCAGCAGCACAUCAAAAAGCUUAUCCACCAUGAUCAAGUGGGCUUCAUCCCUGGGAUGCAAGGCUGGUUCAAGAUACGCAAAUCAAUAAAUAUAAUCCAUCAUAUAAACAGAACCAACGACAAAAACUACAUGAUUAUCUCAAUAGAUGCAGAAGACCUUUGACAAAAUUCAACAACGCUUCAUGCUAAAAACUCUCAAUAAAUUAGGUAUUGAUGGGACGUAUCUCAAAAUAAUAAGAGCUAUCUAUGACAAACCCACAGCCAAUAUCAUACUGAAUGGAGAAAAACUGGAAGCAUUCCUUUUGAAAUCUGGCACAAGACAGGGAUGCCCUCUCUCACCACUCCUAGUCAACAUAGUGUUGGAAGUUCUGGCCAGGGCAAUCAGGCAGGAGAAGGAAAUAAAGGGUAUUCAAUUAGGAAAAGAGGAAGUCAAAUUGUCCCUGUUUGCAGAUGACAUGAUUGUAUAUCUAGAAAACCCCAUUGUCUCAGCCCAAAAUCUCCUUAAGCUGAUAGGCAACUUCAGCAAAGUCUCAGGAUACAAAAUCAAUGUGCGAAAAUCACAAGCAUUCCUAUACGCCAAUAACAGACAAACAGAGAGCCAAAUCAUGAGUGAACUCCCAUUCACAACUGCUUCAAAGAGAAUAAAAUACCUAGGAACCCAACUUACAAGGGAAGUGAAGGACCUCUUCAAGGAGAACUACAAACCACUGCUCAAUGACAUAAAAGAGGAUACAAACAAAUGGAAGAAAAUUCCAUGCUCAUGAGUAGGAAGAAUCAAUAUUGUGAAAAUGGCCAUACUGCCCAAGGUAACUUAUAGAUUCAAUGCCAUCCCCAUCAAGCUACCAUGACUUUCUUCACAGAAUUGGAAAAAACUACUUUAAAGUUCAUAUGGAACCAAAAAAGGGGCCGGAUUACCAAGUCAAUCCUAAGCCAAAAGCACAAAGCUGGAGGCAUCAUGCUACCUGACUUCAAACUAUACUACAAGGCUACAGUAACCAAAACAGCAUGGUACUGGUACCAAAACAGCAUGGUACUGGUACCAAAACAGAGAUACAGAUCAAUGGAACAGAACAGAGCCCUCAGCAAUAAUGCCACAUAUCUAUAACCAUGUGAUCUUUGACAAACCUGACAAAAACAAGAAAUGGGGAAAGGAUUCCCUAUUUAAUAAAUGGUGCUGGGAAAACUGGCUAGCCAUAUGUAGAAAGCUGAAACUGGAUCCUUUCCUUACAUCUUAUACAAAAAUUAAUUGAAGAUGGAUUAAAGACUUAAAUGUUAGACCUAAAACCAUAAAAACCCUAGAAGAAAACCUAGGCAAUACUAUUUAGGAAAAAGGCAUGGGCAAGGACUUCAUGUCUAAAACACCAAAAGCAAUGGCAACAAAAGCCAAAAUUGACAAAUGGGAUCUAAUUAAACUCAAGAGCUUCUGCACACCAAAAGAAACUACCAUCAGAGUGAACAGGCAACCUACAGAAUGGGAGAAAAUUUUUGCAAUCUACUCAUGUGACAAAGGGCUAAUAUCCAGAAUCUACAAUGAACUCAAACAAAUUUACAAGAAAAAAACAAAAAACCCCAUCAACAAGUGGGCGAAGGAUAUGAACAGACACUUCUCAAAAGAAGACAUUUACACAGCCGAAAGACACAUGACAAAAUGCUCAUCAUCACUGGCCAUCAGAGAAAUGCAAAUCAAAACCACAAUGAGAUACCAUCUCACACCAGUUAGAAUGGUGAUCAUUAAAAAGUCAGGAAACAACAGGUGCUGGAGAGGAUGUGGAGAAAUAGGAACACUUCUACACUGUUGGUGGGACUGUAAACUAGUUCAACCAUUGUGGAAGUCAGUGUGGCAAUUCCUCAGGGAUCUAGAACUAGAAAUGCCAUUCGACUCAGCCAUCCCAUUACUGGGUAUAUACCCAAAGGAUUAUAAAUCAUGCUGCUAUAAAGACACACGCACACGUAUGUUUAUUGCAGCACUAUUCACAAUAGCAAAGACUUGGAACCAACCCAAAUGUCCAACAAUGAUAGAUUGGACUAAGAAAAUGUGGCACAUAUACACCAUGGAAUAUUAUGCAGCCAUAAAAAAUCAUGAGUUCAUGUCCUUUGUAGGGACAUGGAUGAAGCUGGAAACCGUUAUUCUCAGCAAACUAUUGCAAGGACAAAAAACCAAACACCACAUGUUCUCACUCAUAGGUGGGAAUUGAACAAUGAGAACACAUGGACACAGGAAAGGGAACAUCACACACCCGGGCCUGUUGUGGGGUGGGGGGAGGGGGGAGGGAUAGCAUUAGGAGAAAUACCUAAUGUAAAUGACGAGUUAAUGGGUGCAGCACACCAACAUGGCACAUGUAUACAUAUGUAACAAACCUGCAUGUUAUGCACAUGUACCCUAGAACUUAAAGUAUAAUAAUAAUAAUAAUAAUAAAGAAAUCUCUAUUUCUUUCUCCCCAGCCUGGUAAUUAAAUGAAUAAUUCAAUAAAAGGAAAAUAUAUUGGUCAAGCUUUUUGUGACGUCAGUAAAAGGCAUACUUUCCAACCUUUUGUAUUCAUCCAAACAAAGCUAAUGCACUUUUAAAAAUCCUAUACUUGUUUUUUUUCAGACCAUCUCGCUCUGUCGCCCAGGCUGGAGUGCAGUGGUGCAACCUCGGCUUACUGCAACCUCCGCCUCCUGGGUUCAAGUGACUCUCAUGCCUCAGCCUCCUGAGUAGCUGGGAUUACAGGCACCUGCCACCAUGCCAGGUUUGUUUGUAUUUUUAGUAGAGACAGGGUUUCACUAUGUUGGCCAGGCUGGUCUCAAACUCCUGACCUCAAGUGAUCCGCCCGCCUCAACCUCUCAAAGUGUUGGGAUUACAGACAUGAGCCACUGCGUCCGGCCUAAAAAUCCUAUAUUUGCAAUCUAUGUGACCACAACUGAUUUAAACCCAGAUGAAGAUAAGGUAUCAAAAUAAACCUCAGGCAGACUGAGCUGUGCCACAAUUUUAACACUAACUGAUGAAGGCAGGAUGCUUCUCCUGCUCAGCUGAGCAUCCUGUCUCCCAAACUCAAAAAACUAAAAUCCUGGAAUCUUAGAACUGGAAGUGACCCUUGUCUUUGUGACUGUCCUUGAGCUCUGCUACCCAUGAGUUUUGCCUCCAAAAUUGUCCCUUUUAUAUGAAGUAGGACUCUGCGCAGCCAGAAUUUUUUGUGUUACCUCUUUGUAAUCAGAUAGGGCACAACUGGCUGAGAUUGUUGUCAGUAUGUGGGUGUGGCUGGAAAAAAAUACCCUCUGUGACCAAUAGUUCUUUCUUCACUGUACACAGCUUUCAUACU